AUUUAUCUAGUAUAAUGUAUAUUUGACUUCCAAUCAAAAGGACUGAACAUAAAUUCAGGAUAAAUA
Molecule: transfer RNA, 66 nt
Filed under: Scopura longa
Lineage: Eukaryota; Metazoa; Arthropoda; Insecta; Plecoptera; Scopuridae
Description: tRNA-Gly
Source: RNAcentral